This 316-nucleotide ribosomal RNA is filed under the name uncultured Bacteroidales bacterium. RNAcentral describes it as "partial 16S ribosomal RNA". The record is from RNAcentral. Lineage: Bacteria; Pseudomonadati; Bacteroidota; Bacteroidia; Bacteroidales.
GGAGUCUGGUCCGUGUCUCAGUACCAGUGUGGGGGAUAAGCCUCUCAGCUCCCCUAGACAUCGUCGGCUUGGUGGGCCGUUGCCCCGCCAACUACCUAAUGUCACGCAUGCCCAUCCCGCACCACCGAAGCUUUAGUAUCAAGACCAUGCGGCCUCAAUACGCCAUGGGAUAUUAGUGGAAAUUUCUCUCCGUUAUCCCCCUGUGCGGGGCAGGUUGCAUACGCGUUACGCACCCGUGCGCCGGUCGCCGGCAGUGUAUUGCUACACCCCGCUGCCCCUCGACUUGCAUGUGUUAAGCCUGCCGCUAGCGUUCAUC